AAUGUAACGCUAGCGGCGUGCCUUAUGCAUGCAAGUCGAACGGUCUUAAGCAAUUAAGAUAGUGGCGAACGGGUGAGUAACGCGUAAGUAACCUACCUCUAAGUGGGGGAUAGCUUCGGGAAGCUGAAGGUAAUACCGCAUGUGGUGGGCCGACAUAUGUUGGUUCACUAAAGCCGUAAGGCGCUUGGUGAGGGGCUCGCGUCCGAUUAGCUAGUUGGUGGGGUAAUGGCCUACCAAGGCUUCGAUCGGUAGCUGGUCUGAGAGGAUGAUCAGCCACACUGGGACUGAGACACGGCCCAGACUCCUACGGGAGGCAGCAGCAAGGAAUCUUGGGCAAUGGGCGAAAGCCUGACCCAGCAACGCCGCGUGAGGGAUGAAGGCUUUCGGGUUGUAAACCUCUUUUCAUAGGGAAGAAUAAUGACGGUACCUGUGGAAUAAGCUUCGGCUAACUACGU
This 455-nucleotide ribosomal RNA is filed under the name Dehalococcoides sp. enrichment culture clone AQ1-28. RNAcentral's name for it is "bacterial SSU rRNA". It matches the Rfam family "Bacterial small subunit ribosomal RNA", at positions 32 to 506 of the family's 1533-position model. The record is from RNAcentral. Lineage: Bacteria; Bacillati; Chloroflexota; Dehalococcoidia; Dehalococcoidales; Dehalococcoidaceae.